RNAcentral lists this ribosomal RNA (476 nucleotides) under uncultured bacterium. RNAcentral's name for it is "partial 16S ribosomal RNA". It matches the Rfam family "Bacterial small subunit ribosomal RNA", at positions 28 to 523 of the family's 1533-position model. The record is from RNAcentral.
GAUGAACGCUGGCGGCGUGCUUAACACAUGCAAGUCGAGCGAGUGAGUUCUUCGGAACGAUCUAGCGGCGGACGGGUGAGUAACACGUGGGCAACCUGCCUCAUAGAGGGGAAUAGCCUCCCGAAAGGGAGAUUAAUACCGCAUAAAAUUAUCGAGUGGCAUCACAUGAUAAUCAAAGGAGUAAUCCGCUAUGAGAUGGGCCCGCGGCGCAUUAGCUAGUUGGUGAGGUAACGGCUCACCAAGGCGACGAUGCGUAGCCGACCUGAGAGGGAGAUCGGCCACAUUGGGACUGAGACACGGUCCAGACUCCUACGGGAGGCAGCAGAGGGGAAUAUUGCACAAUGGGGGAAACCCUGAUGCAGCAACGCCGCGUGAGUGAUGAAGGUCUUCGGAUUGUAAAGCUCUGUCUUUGGGGACGAUAAUGACGGUACCCAAGGAGGAAGCCACGGCUAACUACGUGCCAGCCGCCGCGGUAA